GGUUCAAACAUGGCUGCGCUGAGAGUUCUAUUGCUUUGGGCGCCGGGAGCAGGAGGUACUCCGCGAAUGAGAACAUUGAGAAUGUGUUCGGCAUAACUCAUUUCUUUGUAUCUCCCUGCACUCUGUGCUGGGAAAAUGAAUCAUCCAUUUGGAAAAGAGGAAGCUGCUUCGCAGAAGCAGCUUUUUGGAUUUUUCUGCGAAUGCCUGCGGAGGGGAGAAUGGGAGCUGGCACAGGCAUGUGUACCUCAGCUACAGGAGGGACAAGGGGAUAUCCCAAAGAGGGUAGAAGACAUACUUCAGGCAUUGGUGGUGUGUCCAAAUCUGCUGAGAUGUGGGCAGGACAUCAACCCUCAAAGAGUAGCCUGGGUCUGGCUUCUUGUACUGGAGAAAUGGUUGGCCCGGGAAAAGAAGUUACUCCCAGUUGUUUUCCGGAGAAAGCUUGAGUUUCUUUUAUUGUCAGAAGACCUCCAAGGUGACAUUCCAGAGAACAUCCUCGAGGAGCUGUAUGAGACCUUAACACAGGGUGCAGUAGGCCACGUGCCUGACGGAAAUCCAAGGAGGGAGAGCUGGACUCCUCGUCUCAGCUCCGAAGCUGUCUCUGUGCUCUGGGAUCUCCUGAGGCAGUCUCCCCAGCCAGCACAGGCCCUGCUGGAGCUCCUGCUUGAGGAGGAUGACGGUACUGGCCUCUCUCACUGGCCUCUGCAGAAUGCACUGGUGGACCUCAUCCGAAAGGCAUUGCGGGCUUUGCAGGGCCCUGAUUCGGUGCCCCCUGGGGUAGUCGAUGCCAUCUAUGGAGCCCUGCGGACUCUGCGUUGCCCCGCAGAACCACUUGGGGUUGAGUUGCGUCUCCUGUGUGAGGAACUACUAGAGGCCUGCAGGACCAAGGGGAGUCCCCUGCGGGAGGAGCGGCUGCUCAGCUGCCUGCUGCACAAGGCCAGCCGGGGCCUGCUGUCCCUGUAUGGCCAUACCUAUGCAGAGAAGGUCACAGAAAAGCCACCGAGGGCUACAGCCUCGGGAAAAGUCUCACCAGAUCAUCUAGAUCCUGAGCGGGCAAUGCUAGCCCUGUUCUCCAAUCCCAACCCAGCCGAGGCUUGGAAAGUGGCCUAUUUCUACUGCCUGAGCAACAACAAACACUUCCUCGAGCAGAUUCUGGUAACAGCACUAACAUUGUUGAAAGAAGAAGACUUCCCAAAUCUUGGCUGCCUACUUGAUAGAGAAUUCAGGCCCCUCAGUUGCCUGCUUGUACUCCUGGGCUGGACACACUGCCAGAGCCUAGAGUCAGCCAAGAGGCUGCUCCAGACCCUGCACAGGACCCAGGGCCCAGGCUGUGAUGAGCUCCUCAGGGAUGCCUGCGAUGGGUUGUGGGCUCACCUGGAGGUCCUGGAGUGGUGCAUACAGCAGAGCAGCAACCCCAUACCAAAGAGAGAUCUGUUGUAUCAUUUACACGGUGGAGACAGCCACUCAGUGCUCUACACUCUCCAUCACCUUACAAACCUUCCAGCCCUCAAGGAGGAAGAUGUUCUCAAGCUCUUACAGAAAGUGCCAGCCAAGGACCCCCAGCAAGAGCCUGAUGCAGUUGAUGCUCCAGUCCCUGAGCACCUGAGCCAGUGUCAGAACCUGACACUCUACCAGGGCUUCUGUGCCAUGAAGUAUGCCAUCUAUGCCCUCUGUGUAAACUCACACCAGCACUCCCAGUGCCAGGACUGUAAAGACAGCCUCUCUGAGGACCUGGCCUCAGCUACAGAGCCAGCGAAUGACUCUCUCUCCUCCCCAGGUGCUGCAAAUCUCUUCUCAACUUACCUGGCCAGGUGUCAACAGUAUCUGUGCAGUAUUCCUGACUCUCUGUGCCUGGAGCUUCUGGAAAACAUCUUCUCAUUGCUUCUCAUCACCUCUGCUGAUCUUCACCCAGAGCCUCACUUGCCUGAGGACUAUGCUGAGGAUGAUGACAUUGAGGGGAAGAGCCCCUCAGGUUUGAGGUCCCCAUCAGAGAGCCCUCAGCACAUAGCACAUCCUGAAAGGAAGUCAGAACGGGGUUCUCUGGGAGUCCCAAAGACCCUUGCUUAUACAAUGCCAAGCCAUGUGAAGGCAGAGCCAAAAGACAGUUACCCAGGGCCUCAUAGGCACAGCUUUUUGGACUUAAAACACUUUACCAGUGGUAUCAGUGGAUUUCUGGCUGAUGAAUUUGCAAUAGGGGCCUUCCUCAGGCUUCUCCAAGAGCAACUGGAUGAGAUCAGUAGCCGCAGCCCCCCUGAGAAGCCAAAGCAAGAAAGUCAGAGCUGCUCAGGAAGCAGAGAUGGACUGCAGAGCCGCCUGCAUCGACUUUCCAAGGUUGUCUCUGAGGCCCAGUGGAGACACAAGGUGGUGACAAGCAACCAUCGUUCAGAGGAGCAACCUUCCCGAAGAUACCAGCCUGCCACACGUCACCCCAGUCUCCGCCGGGGUCGUCGGACGAGAAGGAGCCAGGCAGGUAAUCUGAAGAGCUCAUUCCCAUGCACUAGGCAAGUGGUGUAAUGCUGCUUGUCUAAUACUCUUUAAGAAACAGCACAUGGUCAAAAACAACAAAAGCGUUGUAAAAUUAUCCUAUUCCCACUCCCUCAAGGUAACCCUUGUUAAUAGUUUCCUAUGUAUCCUUUCAGAAAUUUUCCAUGCAAUAUAAACAUGUAUAUCCUUUUAUAUAUAUACACAUGCAUUAUACCAUAUAUUGAGAACUGCAGCUGCUUUUUUCAUUUAUAUCCUUUUAUAUAUACAGAUGUAUUAUACUAUAAAUUGAGAACUUUUUUCACUUACCAUUUUAAAUACUGCUUAGUAUUCCAUUGUC
RNAcentral lists this small RNA (2818 nucleotides) under Pan troglodytes (chimpanzee). Its description in RNAcentral is "retained intron". Lineage: Eukaryota; Metazoa; Chordata; Mammalia; Primates; Hominidae. The record is from RNAcentral.